UAAAAACCCUAUUUCACUUUCAGAUUCAGCAGCCGCAAACUGUCUCAGCCUCUUCUCUGCUCUUUGUGCUGAAACCCUCUUUAUCAACUUCGAUUUAGACGAAGUGAAUCAAGAGGUCGACGGCAUGCCUACGUUGGUAAGGAUUUCCUUUCUCCCUCUCCCCCAUUUCAAACUUUACCGAUUUACACAAAACCUCUGCCCAAACUUCAAUCACAGCGAAGCGAGCGGAGAUCCGACGGCGCCGUUAAAAAGGUACGGGUACGGAGGUGCACGGGCGCGCAUGUACGGAGGCUCGCGUGGCACAGUGCAUGUGGGGAGAGAGGCGCACGUGAGGGGAGCAGCUCGAAGGCGCGGUUCGUGCGAGGGCAGAGCUUGCGGCGCCUAGAUCCUCUGGAAACCCUAGGAGUUUUCCGUUUCUGAUUUGGGUUUUCUGGUGUUGGGCCAUUUGGGCCGAUUUGGUUUUGGGUUAGGAAUCUGGGCUUGUGAAUUUUUGUUUAUUGGACGGUUUAAUUGUUUUUUUUCAUUUGGUUUUAUUUUGUUAACGGGCCGGGCAAAAAUGGGCUCUUACAACAACAUUAUUAAAUAUGGUGGCCAUUCUUACUUAAGGUAAUUGCUUCGCGUA
Long non-coding RNA from Gossypium raimondii (Peruvian cotton), 622 nucleotides. RefSeq lists it as uncharacterized. NCBI's taxonomy places the organism in Eukaryota, Viridiplantae, Streptophyta, Magnoliopsida, Malvales, Malvaceae. The transcript is spliced from 2 exons. The record is from RefSeq and is a predicted model, not a curated record.